CAACUGAUUGCCUCCCUCACAUGCCUGGACUGGGAGCCAGGGAUUGAACCUGCAACUCAGGUACGUGCCCUUGUCUGAGAAUUGCACCCCAGAGCCUUCGAUGCACAGGCUGGCACUGUAACCAUGGAGCAACCCUGGCCAGGGCAAGUUACAGACUGGACUUCACUUCUACUUUACAAAUCUGGCACAAGCUCUUCAUAUGACCAGCUGUGACUGGACCACAGGGGCAAGGGUAUUCUGUUAAACGGGAGUUCCCAGCAACCACGUUGACAGUAGUACCAUCAGUAUGCUCAAUGAUCAAGAAUGACUGCAUCUGCAGGACUGCUACUGAGAAUUCCUGGAUUCUCUCCUCUGCCCUUAAAAGACUUCUUCCCUCUCUGAAUCAUGGGACUGAAAUAACAGGAUUUGGGAAUCUUGCCUUGGCCAGGCCAAAAAUCACUGAGAGGCGAUUGUGCCCAGGAAGCAAACUGAAUUUACAGGAUGCUUCAGGGAUUUCAAAAAGGACCAAUCUCAAAACUGCAUGCUAACACAUGAACUGAGUUCAUUUUACUUAAUCAUGGCUGCAAUGCAUGGAUUAUUCUUUCUCUGCCAGUGUUGAUGGCAGGAGUUUCUUUACAUUCUUUCUGUGUGGUGUGAUGGAGAAGACGCUUGGCUUAUGAGCUAGGAAUGAGGUUUUAAACAACAUGAAGCCACACAGAACAUUUUCCCAUCAAAUUCGUAGAGUAGCAUAAUCUCCCUUCCUCUUUAUCCCCUCCAAAAUUCAUCGAAAUGUUAUCUAUGAAUGCUGGAGAGACUGUGGGCUAAGAAUGGUUUUCACAUUUUGAAAUGGUUAAAAAAAUAGAGAAGAAUGUUUAUUCAUGUGAAAAUGAUAUGAAAUUCAAAUGUCGGUGUCCAUCAAUAAAGUUUUAUUGGAACCCAGCCGCAUUCA
This is a long non-coding RNA of Myotis lucifugus (little brown bat), 928 nucleotides long. RefSeq lists it as uncharacterized. Lineage: Eukaryota; Metazoa; Chordata; Mammalia; Chiroptera; Vespertilionidae. The record is from RefSeq and is a predicted model, not a curated record. The transcript is spliced from 3 exons.